GGUUUAUACUGGGUCGUACUGGUUUAUACUGGGUCAUACUGGGCUAUACCGGGUCAUACCGGGUCGUACUGAUUUAUACUGGGUCGUACUGGUUUAUACUGGGUCGUACUGGUUUAUACUGGGUCAUACUGGGCUAUACCGGGUCAUACCGGGUCGUACUGGUUUAUACUGGGUCGUACUGGGAGGGCUCCCCAAGAACCACACGGCCUCUGUUCCCACACCCCCGUGGGGGGAGGGGCGUUUAUUCCCCCCAGUUUGGGGAGCAGGGUGGGGGAGGGGACACACAGGACACCCCUCCCCCCAUCAGCGCCGCCGCCGCCGCCGCACCACGGUCCAGGCGUCCGAGGGGGGAGGGGGCGUCCCGCACUCCAUGGCCUGGGGACAGUGACGUCAUCGGCGUCACAGACACGCCCAGUGACGUCAUCGGCGUCACAGACACACACAGACACACACCCCGGUGACGUCAUCGGUGUCACACACAUGUACACACUUGUGACGUCAUCAGUGUCACACACGCACCUUGAUGACAUCAUCAGUGUCACACACACACAGGUGAUGUCAUCGGUGUCACACACAUGUACACACUUGUGAUGUCAUCAGUGUCACACACGCACCGUGAUGACAUCAUCAGUGUCACACACACACAGAGGUGACGUCAUCAGUGUCACACACACGCCCAGUGACAUCAUCAGUGUCACACACCCCCCUUGAUGACGUCCUCAGUGUCACACAUGCCCAGUGACAUCAUCAGUGUCACACACACACACACACACACACACACACACACUUAUGACGUCAUCGGUGUCACACAUGCGCCCAGUGACAUCAUCAGUGUCACAGACACACACUCUGGUGACAUCAUCAGUGUCUCUCCCCACCCUUGGUGACAUCAUCAGUGUCACACACACCUUUGGUGACAUCAUCAGCGCCCCUCCCCUUUGCUCACAGGGGUCCUGGGGGUCCCACUCCCCCAAUUUGGUGACCCCAGCCCAGUUUUCCCCUUUUCCCCCACUCGAUGAUGUCAUCGGGACUGAAUGACA
Molecule: long non-coding RNA, 1040 nt
Filed under: Cyanistes caeruleus (blue tit)
Lineage: Eukaryota; Metazoa; Chordata; Aves; Passeriformes; Paridae
Description: lncRNA (ENSCCEG00000001020.1)
Source: RNAcentral